AGAGUUUGAUCCUGGCUCAGGAUGAACGCUAGCGGCAGGCUUAAUACAUGCAAGUCGAGGGGCAGCACGGGGAGCAAUACCUGGUGGCGACCGGCGCACGGGUGCGUAACGCGUAUGUAAUCUACCAUUAACCGGGGAACAGCCCAGAGAAAUCUGGAUUAAUGCCCCAUAGUAUUAUCGAAAGGCAUCUUUUGAUUGAUAAUUAAAGCUCAGGCGUUUUUGAUGUACAUGCGUGUCAUUAGUUUGUUGGUGAGGUAACGGCUCACCAAGACUACGAUGACUAGGGGGUCUGAGAGGAUGAUCCCCCACACUGGUACUGAGACACGGAUCAAACUCUUACGGGAGGCAGCAGUGAGGAAUAUUGGACAAUGGAUGGAAAUCUGAUCCCGCCAUGCCGCGUGAAGGAUGAAUGUCCUAUGGAUUGUAAACUUCCUUUGCAUGGGAAUAAAGUGAGCUACGUGUAGCUUAUUGUAUGUACCAUAAGAAUAAGCAUCGGCUAACUACGUGCCAGCAGCCGCGGUAAUACGGAGGAUGCGAGCGUUAUCCGGAAUUACUGGGCGUAAAGGGUGCGUAGGUUGAAAGUUAAGUCUAUAGUGAAAGUCUCGAGCUCAACCGGGAUACUGCCAUAGAAACUGAUAGACUUGAGUGCAGGANNNNNAGGCGGAAUGUGUAAUGUAGCGGUAAAAUGCGUAGAGAUUUGGAGGAAUAUCGAUUGCGAAGGCGGUUGCCUGGCCUGUAACUGACGCUGAAGCUCGAAAGCGUGGGGAUCAAACAGGAUUAGAUACCCUGGUAGUCCACGCCGUAAACGAUGAUUACUAAGUGUUGGAGAAAUUCAGUGCUGCAGUUAACGCAAUAAGUAUUCCGCCUGGGGAGUAUGCACGCAAGUGUGAAACUCAAAGGAAUUGACGGGAGCCCGCACAAGCGGUGGAGUAUGUGGUUUAAUUCGACGCAACGCGAAGAACCUUACCAGGCCUUGACAUACUCGGCAAAGCUCUAGAGAUAGAGUGGAGGUUAUCUGGGAGACAGGUGGUGCAUGGUUGUCGUCAGCUCGUGUCGUGAGAUGUUGGGUUAAGUCCCGCAACGAGCGCAACCCCUAUAGCUAGUUGCCAGCAUUAAGUUGGGCACUCUAGCAGAACUGCCAUUGAUAAAAUGGAGGAAGGUGGGGAUGACGUCAAAUCAUCAUGCCCCUUAUGUCCUGGGCUACACACGUACUACAAUGGCCUGAACAGAGGGAAGCAAAACUGUGAAGUUAAGCGAAUCCCUAAAAACAGGUCCCAGUUCGGAUUGCAGGCUGAAACUCGCCUGCAUGAAGUCGGAGUUGCUAGUAAUCGCGGAUCAGCAUGCCGUGGUGAAUGCGUUCCCGGGUCUUGUACACGCCGCCCGUCAAACCACGAAAGUCGGCAACACCCGAAGCCGGUGAUCCAACCGUAAGGAGGAAGCUGUCGAAGGUAAAACCAAUGACUGGGGUGAAGUCGUAACAAGGUAACC
This 1488-nucleotide ribosomal RNA is filed under the name uncultured bacterium. Its description in RNAcentral is "16S ribosomal RNA". It matches the Rfam family "Bacterial small subunit ribosomal RNA". The record is from RNAcentral.